CAGACCCCGCGAUGCUUGUAUGUAAACUGUCUGCAAAGGCUCCUGUGAGGAAGUCUUGGACCCCAGGGCAGUGGUGUUCAGAGGUGGAGCUGUUAGAGAGCGACCGAUUGGAUUCUGAGAGCUCUGACGUCAUCCGCGAGUUACCUGCCCGUGGCUGUGGGUCUUCGGCGGUGUGUCCUUAGGCAACAUCACGCCUUAUUCUUGCCCCAGCAGUCACCUCCACCACACAGCUCUGCAGUCGCAAUAUCCUACUUCCUACCUUGCCUCAGACAUGAGCAGCAGAGCCAGCCAACCACGGACUGAAGCCACACGCCAGUCACUUGUUCCUAUGGAGCAUUUUGUCGCAGCAAUGGAAAGCUGAUGGACAGAGGGCGAGUCAGUAGAAAACGUAGGCACGGUGGCACACACCUACAAUUGCAUUCCUAGACAGAUGCCAACAGGAGGAUUGGGAGUUCAAGGCCAGGCUUAACUGCAGAGGAGUGUGAGGUCAUAUGAUACCGCGUCUCACAACAACAAACAAGUAAGCAACUUGUGUGUCUUGAGGCGAGAUAAAGCAAAUGGAUCAAACAGAAACAGAAAUGUGGAGAAUGUAAUUAUUGUUUCUGCAUCGAUUCCAUCCUGCGACAGUGAAGCAGAAACAGUCACAGAGUCCUGUCAGUGGCUGAGCGUGGUGUCCAGUCCUGGGUCCUGCUGCUGCUGCUGCUGCUGCUGCUGCUGGACCAAACGAGGAGAACAGGGCGAUCUCAGAGAUGAUCCUCGACGGGAUGUUGAUUUAUGACUCUUACGAUCUUUCCUGCUGUAAGAAACUGGCUGCCUGUAAUAAAAACCCAGACUUGGUU
Molecule: long non-coding RNA, 839 nt
Organism: Peromyscus californicus insignis
Lineage: Eukaryota; Metazoa; Chordata; Mammalia; Rodentia; Cricetidae
Exons: 2
Source: RefSeq, a predicted model, not a curated record